This 88-nucleotide ribosomal RNA is filed under the name uncultured bacterium. Its description in RNAcentral is "partial 16S ribosomal RNA". It matches the Rfam family "Bacterial small subunit ribosomal RNA", at positions 267 to 354 of the family's 1533-position model. The record is from RNAcentral.
ACCAAGGCAACGAUCAGUAGCCGCCUGAGAGGGUGAACCGGCCACAUUGGGACUGAGACACGGCCCAAACUCCUACGGAAGGCAGCAG